This 460-nucleotide ribosomal RNA is filed under the name uncultured bacterium. Its description in RNAcentral is "partial 16S ribosomal RNA". It matches the Rfam family "Bacterial small subunit ribosomal RNA", at positions 338 to 795 of the family's 1533-position model. The record is from RNAcentral.
CCUACGGGUGGCAGCAGUGAGGAAUAUUGGUCAAUGGACGCAAGUCUGAACCAGCCAAGCCGCGUGCGGGAAGACGGCUCUGUGAGUUGUAAACUGCUUUUGUACGAGGGUAAACGCAGAUACGCGUAUCUGUCUGAAAGUAUCUGACGAAUCAGCAUCGGCUAACUCCGUGCCAGCAGCCGCGGUAAUCCGGAGGAUUCAAGCGUUAUCCGGAUUUAUUGGGUUUAAAGGGUGCGUAGGCGGUCGGAUAAGUUAGAGGGGAAAUCCCGAGGCUCAACUUCGGAAUGGCCUCUGAUACUGUUCGGCUAGAGAGUAGCUGAGGUAGGCGGAAUGUAUGGUGUAGCGGUGAAAUGCUUAGAGAUCAUACAGAACACCGAUUGCGAAGGCAGCUUACCGAGCUACUACUGACGUUGAGGCACGAAAGCGUGGGGAGCAAACAGGAUUAGAUACCCGAGUAGUC